GCCCCCUUAGCUCAGGUGGAUAGAGCACAGGUUUCCUAAACCUGGUGCCGCAUGUUCGAGUCAUGCAGGGGGCACCA
This 77-nucleotide transfer RNA is filed under the name Nitrospirota bacterium. Its description in RNAcentral is "Nitrospirae bacterium (groundwater metagenome) tRNA-Arg". It matches the Rfam family "tRNA". From Rfam's summary of the family: Transfer RNA (tRNA) molecules are approximately 80 nucleotides in length. Lineage: Bacteria; Pseudomonadati; Nitrospirota. The record is from RNAcentral.